RNAcentral lists this ribosomal RNA (446 nucleotides) under Streptomyces coeruleorubidus. RNAcentral's name for it is "bacterial SSU rRNA". It matches the Rfam family "Bacterial small subunit ribosomal RNA", at positions 1 to 481 of the family's 1533-position model. The record is from RNAcentral. Lineage: Bacteria; Bacillati; Actinomycetota; Actinomycetes; Kitasatosporales; Streptomycetaceae.
UUGUAGGGGGGGAGCGUGGCUCAGGAUAACGCUGGCGGCGUGCUUAACACAGCAAGUCGACGAUGACCACUUCGGUGGGGAUUAGUGGCGAAGGGUGAGUAACACGUGGGCAAUCUGUGCUGCAUCUGGGGCAAGCCCUGGAAAGGGGUCUAAGCCGGAUACUUACACUUGGGCACGAAGCUGUUCGAAAGCUCCGGCGGUGCAGGAUGAGCCCGCGGCCUAUCAGCUAGUUGGUGAGGUAAUGGCUCACAAGGCGCGAUGGGUAGCCGGCCUGAGAGGGCGCCGGGCGCACUGGGACUUAGACCGGCCCAGACUGCUAGGGAGCACAUUGGGGAAUAUGCCAAGGUCGAAGCCUGAGCACGCGCCGCGUGAGGUAUCGGCCUCGGGUUGUAACCUCUUCGCGGGUAAAGCGUAAAUUCGGUUCGCGACAGAACACGAGUGUUGCA